GGCGGACGGGUGAGUAACGCGUGAGAAUCUACCAAAAGGACUGGGACAACCACUGGAAACGGUGGCUAAUACCGGAUGAGCCGAAAAGUAAAAAGGGAAACCUGCCUUUUGAAGAGCUCGCGUCUGAUUAGCUAGUUGGUGAGGUAAGAGCUCACCAAGGCAGCGAUCAGUAGCUGGUCUGAGAGGAUGACCAGCCACACUGGGACUGAGACACGGCCCAGACUCCUACGGGAGGCAGCAGUGGGGAAUUUUCCGCAAUGGGCGAAAGCCUGACGGAGCAAGACCGCGUGAGGGAAGAAGGCUCUUGGGUCGUAAACCUCUUUUAUCAGGGAAGAAAAAAAUGACGGUACCUGAAGAAUCAGCCUCGGCUAACUCCGUGCCAGCAGCCGCGGUAAUACGGAGGAGGCAAGCGUUAUCCGGAAUUAUUGGGCGUAAAGCGUCCGCAGGUGGCUUAUCAAGUCUGCUGUCAAAGAGUGGGGCUUAACCCCAUAAAGGCAGUGGAAACUGGGAAGCUAGAGUGCCGUAGGGGUAGAGGGAAUUCCCGGUGUAGCGGUGAAAUGCGUAGAGAUCGGGAAGAACAUCGGUGGCGAAAGCGCUCUACUGGACGGCAACUGACACUCAGGGACGAAAGCUAGGGGAGCGAAUGGGAUUAGAUACCCCAGUAGUCCUAGCCGUAAACGAUGGAUACUAGGUGUGGCUUGUAUCGACCCGAGCCGUGCCGUAGCUAACGCGUUAAGUAUCCCGCCUGGGGAGUACGCACGCAAGUGUGAAACUCAAAGGAAUUGACGG
This 789-nucleotide ribosomal RNA is filed under the name uncultured bacterium. Its description in RNAcentral is "bacterial SSU rRNA". It matches the Rfam family "Bacterial small subunit ribosomal RNA", at positions 97 to 916 of the family's 1533-position model. The record is from RNAcentral.